CUUGUACUCCCUCCAUCCGAAAAUACUUGUCAUUGAAAUGGAUGUAUCUAGAUGUAUUUUAGUUCUAGACACAUCCAUUUUGAUGACAAGUAAUUCCGGAUGGAGGGAGUACUUG
Molecule: non-coding RNA, 115 nt
Organism: Triticum urartu
Lineage: Eukaryota; Viridiplantae; Streptophyta; Magnoliopsida; Poales; Poaceae
Source: Rfam